This 1109-nucleotide ribosomal RNA is filed under the name uncultured Hydrogenobaculum sp. RNAcentral's name for it is "bacterial SSU rRNA". It matches the Rfam family "Bacterial small subunit ribosomal RNA", at positions 171 to 1254 of the family's 1533-position model. Lineage: Bacteria; Pseudomonadati; Aquificota; Aquificia; Aquificales; Aquificaceae. The record is from RNAcentral.
GUAUAUUGCCUUUUGUCACUAAGGAAAAAGGUGAAAGCGAGGCUGUCAAAGGCUUCGGCUCAAAGAGGGGUUCGCGUCCUAUCAGGUAGUUGGUGGGGUAAUGGCCUACCAAGCCAAUGACGGGUAGCUGGUCUUAGAGGAUGAUCAGCCACAGUGGGACUGAGACACGGCCCGCACCCCUACGGGGGGCAGCAGUGGGGAAUCGUGGGCAAUGGGCGCAAGCCUGACCCCGCAAUGCCGCGUGAGGGAAGAAGCCCUUCGGGGUGUAAACCUCUGUCAGAUGGGAAGAUGGGACUAGGAGCUAAUACCUCCUAGUCUUGACGGUACCAUCAGAGGAAGGGACGGCUAACUACGUGCCAGCAGCCGCGGUAAUACGUAGGUCCCGAGCGUUGCGCGAUGUUACUGGGCGUAAAGCGUCCGUAGCCGGUUUCGUAAGCGGAUUGUCAAAGCCCGAAGCUCAACUUCGGCAAGGCAUUCCGAACUGCGUUACUUGAGUCCUGUUCAGGUAGGCGGAAUUCCCGGUGUAGCGGUGAAAUGCGUAGAUAUCGGGAGGAACACCAGUGGCGAAGGCGGCCUACUGGGACGGUACUGACGGUCAUGGACGAAAGCUGGGGGAGCAAACCGGAUUAGAUACCCGGGUAGUCCCAGCCGUAAACGAUGGAUGUUAGGUGUAGUGAUAACUUCGCUGCACCCCAGCUAACGCGUUAAACAUCCCGCCUGGGGAGUACGGGCGCAAGCCUGAAACUCAAAGGAAUUGGCGGGGGCCCGCACAACCGGUGGAGCGUCUGGUUUAAUUCGAUGCUAACCGAAAAACCUUACCAGGGUUUGAAAUGGUAGGAAAGGCUGUCGAAAGAUAGCCGUGUUUCCCUUUUGGGAAAAAUCCUACCACAGGUGGUGCAUGGCCGUCGUCAGCUCGUGUUGUGAGAUGUUGGGUUAAGUCCCGCAACGAGCGCAACCCUUGUCCUUAUUUGCUUCCUCGUAUGAGGUGCUCUAUAAGGAGACUGCCGGCGACAAGCCGGUGGAAGGAGGGGACGACGUCAGGUCAGUAUGCCCUUUUUGCCCUGGGCUACACAGGCGCUAACAGUGGCAAGGUUAAUAGAGACAUCAGA